UACGUAGGGGGCAAGCGUUGUCCGGAAUCAUUGGGCGUAAAGAGCGCGUAGGCGGCCCUGUAAGUCCGCUGUGAAAGUCAAGGGCUCAACCCUUGAAUGCCGGUGGAUACUGCAGGGCUAGAGUCCGGAAGAGGCGAGUGGAAUUCCUGGUGUAGCGGUGAAAUGCGCAGAUAUCAGGAGGAACACCGAUGGCGAAGGCAGCUCGCUGGGCCGGUACUGACGCUGAGGCGCGAAGGCGUGGGGAGCGAACGGG
This 253-nucleotide ribosomal RNA is filed under the name uncultured bacterium. RNAcentral describes it as "partial 16S ribosomal RNA". It matches the Rfam family "Bacterial small subunit ribosomal RNA", at positions 524 to 776 of the family's 1533-position model. The record is from RNAcentral.